GGAAUAUUGGUCAAUGGGCGAGAGCCUGAACCAGCCAUGCCGCGUGUAGGAUGACGGCCUUCUGGGUUGUAAACUACUUUUCUACGGGAAGAAAAAGCUCAUGCGUGGGCAAUUGACGGUACCGUAGGAAUAAGCACCGGCUAACUCCGUGCCAGCAGCCGCGGUAAUACGGAGGGUGCAAGCGUUGUCCGGAUUUAUUGGGUUUAAAGGGUGCGUAGGCGGCUUCUUAAGUCAGUGGUGAAAGCCCGCAGCUUAACUGUGGAACUGCCAUUGAAACUGGGAAGCUUGAGUACGGUUGAAGUAGGCGGAAUUUAUGGUGUAGCGGUGAAAUGCAUAGAUACCAUAAAGAACACCGAUAGCGUAGGCAGCUUACUAAGCCGUAACUGACGCUGAGGCACGAAAGCAUGGGGAGCGAACAGGAUUAGAAACCCCUGUAGUCC
Molecule: ribosomal RNA, 440 nt
Filed under: uncultured bacterium
Lineage: Bacteria
Description: bacterial SSU rRNA
Rfam family: Bacterial small subunit ribosomal RNA
Source: RNAcentral